AGACUUGGUUUCAUGUGCUUCAAGAAGAUCUUCCCUUCUUCCCAGAUUUUUUUUUCUUUAUUUUCCCAGAUUUGCAAAAUCUGAGGCAGGUUUUAUUGCAGAAGACCUAUGCUUUUUUGGGAAGCUCAUUUUAAACCUUCAUUCAAUUGGCUCAGCUGAAGUGAGAUCUUGAAUGAUUUUAGACAUUUGGGAAUGGAAGACAAGGUGAUGUGGAGACUAGAGCAUAGCUGCCUCAUUACUCUUGGUCUAGCCCAAGGUGAGAAACCAAAGAAGGAGGCUCAGGGAGAUCUGGAAAUACCAGGUUCGUGAUGGACAACAUCUACUUAUCUUGGAGAAUAUUCACUUGAGAACAAGGAACCUAACAAGGCAAGACUUUUUUCCCAGUCAUAGUUACAUAUUAAUUACGCUGCUAGAAGAUGUCAUGAAUUUCUGUAGGCUCAAGCAGCAGUACUAUAUUGAUGGUAUAUCCUGAAGCUCUGCAGCACCUGUAUUUGAAAUAAAUAUCAUUGCCUACCUAUUUCUGGUCUAGAGGCAAACAAGUGGAACAGCUAGAUACAAUUCUGUCCAAGUAUGGUGAAGGUGACCAUGAUGCAUGAAAGACAGGAAUCUGAAAGUGCUUUGGAAGCUGUGGAUAAUCACUAUGAAACAUGUGGAUCAGAAACAGAAUUGGAGCUAUUUUAUCUGGACCUAAUUAAACAGCCUUCAUUACUGGCAGGCUCUCCUGGUGGCUGAUGUGAUUGCAGAGAAGAUAACAGAGGCCAUACCCAAAGGACUGACUCUGAUCCUGCUGAAACAAAACAAAAAAAAAGAAUUUAUUCCUUUGAGAUCAAGCCUGGAAGAUGUCCUACUUUGCUUUGGUCUUCUUAAACCUUGUCACGCAACAGUAUGCAUACUUUUUCCCUGUUGCUGUCUUCAUGUCUGAAGAACUAACAGAUUUUCAUGGGAUGAAUAUAAAUAAAAGUCUGUACUGAUGAACUUUGAAGGGAAUG
This 989-nucleotide long non-coding RNA is filed under the name Apteryx rowi (Okarito brown kiwi). RNAcentral's name for it is "lncRNA (ENSARWG00000015351.1)". The record is from RNAcentral. Lineage: Eukaryota; Metazoa; Chordata; Aves; Apterygiformes; Apterygidae.